Molecule: ribosomal RNA, 450 nt
Filed under: uncultured bacterium
Lineage: Bacteria
Description: partial 16S ribosomal RNA
Rfam family: Bacterial small subunit ribosomal RNA
Source: RNAcentral
CCUACGGGUGGCUGCAGUAAGGAAUAUUGGACAAUGGGCGCAAGCCUGAUCCAGCCAUGCCGCGUGCAGGAUGACGGCCCUAUGGGUUGUAAACUGCUUUUAUACGGGAAAAAACCCCUCUACGUGUAGAGGGCUGAUGGUACCGUAAGAAUAAGGAUCGGCUAACUCCGUGCCAGCAGCCGCGGUAAUACGGAGGAUCCGAGCGUUAUCCGGUUUUAAGGGGUUGAAGGGGUGCGUAGACGGAAUUGUAGAAAUCCUGCAGCUUAACUGUAGAACUGCCAUUGAUACUGCAAGUCUUGAGUACAUAUGAUGUGGGCGGAAUGUGUAGUGUAGCGGUGAAAUGCUUAGAUAUUACACAGAACACCAAUUGCGAAGGCAGCUCACAAAACUGUAACUGACGCUGAGGCACGAAAGCGUGGGGAGUGAACAGGAUUAGAUACCCGUGUAGUC